ACGGAAGGCAGCAGUGGGGAAUAUUGCACAAUGGUGGAAACCCUGAUGCAGCGACGCCGCGUGAGGGAAGACGGUUUUCGGAUUGUAAACCUCUGUUCUUGGUGACGAAGAAGUGACGGUAGCCAAGGAGAAAGCCACGGCUAACUACGUGCCAGCAGCCGCGGUAAUACGUAGGUGGCAAGCGUUAUCCGGAAUUACUGGGUGUAAAGGGAGCGCAGGCGGGACAGCAAGUCAGCGGUGAAAUGUAUGGGCUCAACCCAUGAACUGCCGUUGAAACUGUUGUUCUUGAGUGGAGUAGAGGUAGGCGGAAUUCCGAGUGUAGCGGUGAAAUGCGUAGAUAUUAGGAGGAACACCAGUGGCGAAGGCGGCUUUCUGGACUGUAACUGACACUGAGGCACGAAAGCGUGGGGAGCAAACAGGAUUAGAUACCCUGGUA
This 436-nucleotide ribosomal RNA is filed under the name uncultured Clostridium sp. Its description in RNAcentral is "partial 16S ribosomal RNA". It matches the Rfam family "Bacterial small subunit ribosomal RNA", at positions 341 to 792 of the family's 1533-position model. Lineage: Bacteria; Bacillati; Bacillota; Clostridia; Eubacteriales; Clostridiaceae. The record is from RNAcentral.